Cucurbita maxima (winter squash) is the source of this 212-nucleotide small nucleolar RNA. RefSeq annotates it as Plant small nucleolar RNA U3. The record is from RefSeq and is a predicted model, not a curated record. NCBI's taxonomy places the organism in Eukaryota, Viridiplantae, Streptophyta, Magnoliopsida, Cucurbitales, Cucurbitaceae. The transcript has a single exon.
ACGACCUUACUUGAACAGGAUCUGUUCUAUAGGUUGUACAACUGUGUCCUUGAGUUCUAAGGAGACAAGAACUAAAGUCUGGUGGAUGAACCACUACCCUGUGAUUAGAGCGUGAUUAACGGCUCAAUGAACUUUAGGUCCUGCGGCUGUAGAGGAUCGUUCUUGGCCGAUACGGUACGGCUGGGAUGGUCGCAUGGGCGGUCUGACAGACC